This 253-nucleotide ribosomal RNA is filed under the name uncultured bacterium. RNAcentral describes it as "partial 16S ribosomal RNA". It matches the Rfam family "Bacterial small subunit ribosomal RNA", at positions 524 to 776 of the family's 1533-position model. The record is from RNAcentral.
UACGUAGGGGGCAAGCGUUGUCCGGAAUCAUUGGGCGUAAAGCGCGCGUAGGCGGCCCGACAAGUCCGCUGUAAAAGUCCAGGGCUCAACCCUGGAAAGCCGGUGGAAACUGUCGGGCUAGAGUCCGGAAGAGGCGAGUGGAAUUCCUGGUGUAGCGGUGGAAUGCGCAGAUAUCAGGAGGAACACCAAUAGCGAAGGCAGCUCGCUGGGACGGUACUGACGCUGAGGUGCGAAAGCGUGGGGAGCAAACAGG